GACGAACGCUGGCGGCGUGCUUAACACAUGCAAGUCGAACGGAAAGGCCCUGCUUUUGUGGGGUGCUCGAGUGGCGAACGGGUGAGUAACACGUGAGUAACCUGCCCUUGACUUUGGGAUAACUUCAGGAAACUGGGGCUAAUACCGGAUAGGAGCUCCUGCUGCAUGGUGGGGGUUGGAAAGUUUCGGCGGUUGGGGAUGGACUCGCGGCUUAUCAGCUUGUUGGUGGGGUAGUGGCUUACCAAGGCUUUGACGGGUAGCCGGCCUGAGAGGGUGACCGGCCACAUUGGGGCUGCGAUACGGCCCAGACUCCUACGGGAGGCAGCAGUGGGGGAUAUUGCACAAUGGGCGGAAGCCUGAUGCAGCAACGCCGCGUGCGGGAUGACGGCCUUCGGGUUGUAAACCGCUUUCGCCUGUGACGAAGCGUGAGUGACGGUAAUGGGUAAAGAAGCACCGGCUAACUACGUG
Molecule: ribosomal RNA, 468 nt
Filed under: uncultured bacterium
Lineage: Bacteria
Description: partial 16S ribosomal RNA
Rfam family: Bacterial small subunit ribosomal RNA
Source: RNAcentral